This 273-nucleotide ribosomal RNA is filed under the name uncultured bacterium. RNAcentral describes it as "partial 16S ribosomal RNA". It matches the Rfam family "Bacterial small subunit ribosomal RNA", at positions 85 to 354 of the family's 1533-position model. The record is from RNAcentral.
CCGCCGGCGACCGGCGCACGGGUGAGUAACACGUAUGCGACCUGGCCGUGACAGAUGGAUAACCGGGAGAAAUCCCGCCUAAUACAACAUAAUGCCGGGAGGGGACAUCCCCUGCCGGCCAAAGGGGGCGACCCCGGUCACGGAUGGGCAUGCGGCGCAUUAGGUAGUUGGUGGGGCAACGGCCCACCAAGCCGACGAUGCGUAGGGGUUCUGAGAGGAAGGUCCCCCACAUUGGAACUGAGACACGGUCCAAACUCCUACGGGAGGCAGCAG